GCCCCAGUGGCACAACAGGCGAGUGCGUUUGGCUGUUACCAGAAGGCUGGUGGUUCAAGUCCACCCCAGGAUU
Molecule: non-coding RNA, 73 nt
Organism: Podarcis lilfordi (Lilford's wall lizard)
Lineage: Eukaryota; Metazoa; Chordata; Lepidosauria; Squamata; Lacertidae
Source: the annotation of a GenBank genome assembly